UGGGGAAUAUUGCACAAUGGGCGCAAGCCUGAUGCAGUCAUGCCGCGUGUAUGAAGAAGGCCUUCGGGUUGUAAAGUACUUUCAGCGGGGAGGAAGGCGAUGCGGUUAAUAACCGCGUCGAUUGACGUUACCCGCAGAAGAAGCACCGGCUAACUCCGUGCCAGCAGCCGCGGUAAUACGGAGGGUGCAAGCGUUAAUAGGAAUUACUGGGCGUAAAGCGCACGCAGGCGGUCUGUCAAGUCGGAUGUGAAAUCCCCGGGCUCAACCUGGGAACUGCAUCCGAAACUGGCAGGCUUGAGUCUCGUAGAGGGGGGUAGAAUUCCAGGUGUAGCGGUGAAAUGCGUAGAGAUCUGGAGGAAUACCGGUGGCGAAGGCGGCCCCCUGGACGAAGACUGACGCUCAGGUGCGAAAGCGUGGGGAGCAAACA
This 427-nucleotide ribosomal RNA is filed under the name uncultured bacterium. RNAcentral's name for it is "partial 16S ribosomal RNA". It matches the Rfam family "Bacterial small subunit ribosomal RNA", at positions 355 to 774 of the family's 1533-position model. The record is from RNAcentral.